This 254-nucleotide ribosomal RNA is filed under the name uncultured bacterium. RNAcentral's name for it is "partial 16S ribosomal RNA". It matches the Rfam family "Bacterial small subunit ribosomal RNA", at positions 524 to 776 of the family's 1533-position model. The record is from RNAcentral.
UACGGGGGAUGCAAGCGUUAUCCGGAAUGAUUGGGCGUAAAGCGUCUGUAGGUGGUUUUAUUAGUUUACGCGUUAAAAAGUAGAGCUUAACUUUACUAUAGCCGUAAAAACGAUAGGACUUGAGUGUGGUAGAGGUAGAGGGAACUCCUCAUGUAGCGGUGAAAUGCGUAGAUAUGAGGAAGAACACCAAUGGCGAAGGCACUCUGCUGGGCCAACACUGACACUCAGAGACGAAAGCUUGGGUAGCGAAUGGG